This 2051-nucleotide long non-coding RNA is filed under the name Eucalyptus grandis. RNAcentral's name for it is "long non-coding RNA (EGRA_LNC000102)". Lineage: Eukaryota; Viridiplantae; Streptophyta; Magnoliopsida; Myrtales; Myrtaceae. The record is from RNAcentral.
GCCCGUUUUCGACCCAAGCCGGCGCCGGAUCUGCCCUCUCUCAGCCUCAAACCGCCAUGGACAGCAGCUGCAGAAAAUGGGUAUGCAGCGGACGUUUGGCUCGUUUUGGCCGCCUUCCCGAGCUCGGAUACUCGGCCCGCUUUGAGGAAAGUUGUUCUCCUCGGCGUCCCCGUCGUUUUGGUCCGCUCGGUUCGCUAAUCCGGUGAGUUUAACUCACUAAACCUCGCUUAGAGGGUUAAUGAUGCUUUAGGUGUGUUUAGUUUAUGUUAAGUGCUAUUAGGUGGUUAGUUUAAUUUAUUUAAGUGUAGAUUAUAUUAAUGUGCUUGAUUAACUUAAAUUGUGUUUAAUUUAAAGUUAAGUGGGUGUUUAUAUUAAUAUAAAUAUUGAUGUGACAUAAAGGAAUUUACUUUUGAUUUAUUUCAAUGUCUCGAAAUUAUUUAAUAAUUUAAUAAUAUAUUAUUAUUCGAAAUUAUUAAAAUAUUAUUAUUUAAUUAUUUUCGGAAUAAAUUUAAUUAUUUAUUAAAUUCCGAAAAUUUUGUCGGGACCCUAAAUUCUCAGAAUUUCGUGCCGGUCGCCGCUGUGCAGUCAGAUUUUGAAAUUGACGAUUGGAUAUUAUAAAUUGAGUGUGGAUUGUGAAAAAUAUGGAUAUUAUUAUUUAAUUAAUUUUCGGAAUAAAUUUUAAUUAUUUAAUAAAUUCCGAAAAUUAAGUUGGGACCCUAAAUUCUCAGAAUUUUGUGCUGAUUGCUGCUGUGUGUUCAGAUUAUGAAUUUGAUGAUUAGAUAUUACAAAUUGAGCGAUGAUUUGUGCAAUUAAUUAUUGAAUUGUUGUGUGCUGGUUGAAAGACUCGGGUCGCAGUAGUGGCUAGGCCGACUGGACCUUUGUUCUUCUAGAAAUGCCGUCAAGGGAGAGUGACGUGGCUCGGGUCGCAGUAGUGGCUAGGCCGACUGGACCUUUGUUCUUCUAGAAAUGCCGUCAAGGGAGAGUGACGUGGCUCGGGUCGCAGUAGUGGCUAGGCCGACUGGACCUUUGUUCUUCUAGAAAUGCCGUCAAGAGAGUGACGUGGCUCGGGUCGCAGUAGUGGCUAGGCCGACUGGACCUUUGUUCUUAUAGAAAUGCCGUCAGGAGAGUGACGUGGUGCCGAUCGCAGUAGAGGCUGGGCCGACUGGAUCGAUGCUCCUUCGGGAAUGCCGUCGACGUAGAGACGAAGCCGUGCUCCAAGGGGGGGAGACGAUGCUCCUUCGGGAAUGCCGUCGACGUACUGACGAAGCCGCGCUCCAUGGGGGGGAGGCGAUGCCUGGCUAUAUGCCAGUAGAUAGCCGAACUGCGAGUAGGCUAUGCCCUUGCGUGGCAGUGAAUAUCAAUUGGAAUGCAUGUUGAGUGUUGUUGAUGUGUCGGAUUAUGGGACGGAAUUAUGUGGCAUGGAAUGGGACGUGUCAUAAUGAUUUAGUCUUAUAAUCAGGACCCCCGCGGUUGUUGGUUAUAUGAAAGUGAAUGCGUUCCGGUUGUUUAAGUCCUUAUUACUGCAUAUGAUUGAAUGAUAUGAAUUGUGCUAACCUGCAGGAAAGAACCGAGGUGAGGUAAGUCCUCUAUGUUGUGUGGCUAGGCCACCCAGGGCGUAUUUUCUUUCUAAUAGGGGUUUAGGGGGUUGAACUUGCUGAGAUGUGGUCUCAGUGGUUAUUGAAUAACCAUUUCAGGUCCCUGAUGGACGGAGUGGCCAGAUAGCUUUGGUUAGCCUUGAAGAGUUGGAGAAGUGAAGUCAUAAGGAUUGGAGAUCGUGUACGUCUUGUGGGUCGUAGGAUAACCUCUUUUUAAGAGCCAGUCUUUUGUAGACUUUUGGCCGUAGACCUCUGUUUGUAAUUUCGUUGAUUUACGAAAGUGUUAUGUUGUGAUUUUGUUUCCUGCUUUUCUAUCCCAAGUUAAAUGUUGUCAGGGGAUUUGUUUCGCUUCCGCAUGCGUAAAUAAAUGAAUGGGUCGGCGGCGUAUCCUGGGAUGUCGCAUAUUUGAUCGACCGCUGUGGGAUGUGUGCGCGCUCGGGGUUCGGGGCGUGACAA